UCUUCGCUCUCCGCUCGAAAACUGGAACCAAGUCUCUCUGCGGAUUCGUCGUCAUGCACAAUGCCUAUCUGAGCAUGUAUCCUGGAUCUGAUGAAGACCACUACACUGUCGAUCCUGUCA
Molecule: non-coding RNA, 120 nt
Filed under: Partenskyella glossopodia
Lineage: Eukaryota; Cercozoa; Chlorarachniophyceae
Source: RNAcentral